This 85-nucleotide transfer RNA is filed under the name Diandrolyra sp. ILCO-2018. RNAcentral describes it as "partial tRNA-Ser". Lineage: Eukaryota; Viridiplantae; Streptophyta; Magnoliopsida; Poales; Poaceae. The record is from RNAcentral.
UGAUUAGGGAAUUCGAACCCUCGGUAGUUCCUAGAACUAUACCGGUUUUCAAGACCGGAGCUAUCAACCACUCAGCCAUCUCUCC